This 380-nucleotide unclassified non-coding RNA is filed under the name uncultured bacterium. RNAcentral's name for it is "contains 16S-23S intergenic spacer region". The record is from RNAcentral.
UCCGGUUUGUCACCGGCAGUCACCUUAGAGUGCCCAACUAAAUGCUGGCAACUAAGAUCAAGGGUUGCGCUCGUUGCGGGACUUAACCCAACAUCUCACGACACGAGCUGACGACAACCAUGCACCACCUGUCACUCUGUCCCCCGAAGGGGAACGCUCUAUCUCUAGAGUUGUCAGAGGAUGUCAAGACCUGGUAAGGUUCUUCGCGUCGCAUCGAAUUAAUCCGCAUGCUCCGCCGCUUGUGCGGGCCCCCGUCAAUUCCUUUGAGUUUUAGCCUUGCGGCCGUACUCCCCAGGCGGGGCGCUUAAUGCGUUAGCUACGGCACAGAGAACCGGGAAGGCCCCCCACACCUAGCGCCCAACGUUUACAGCAUGGACUAC